UACACGUUCGGUGGAGGAACCAGACUGGAUGUUGGAAGUGAUUUGCGCCCCACCCUGACAGUGCUGCCCCCCUCCAGAGAAGAGCUGGAGCAGGGGAAGGCCACGCUCAUGUGCCUGGCCAACAAGGGCUUCCCCUCAGACUGGAGUCUGGCCUGGAAGGUGGACGGCAGCAGCAGCAGCAGCUGGGAGGAGAGCAGGAGCCCCGGGGUGCUGGGGAAGGACGGCCACUACAGCUGGAGCAGCACCCUGAGGCUCCCUGCAGACCAGUGGAGGAAGGUGGGCUCUGUGACCUGUGAGGCCACCCAGGGCUCCCAGACUCCGCUCUCAGAGACACUGAGGAGAGACCAGUGUUCCCAGUCCUGAGCUGACUCACUGGCAGGGACUCUGCUACUGGUUUUACUCUGACACUGCUCUCACUCUGCUCUCUGCAACUAGCUCUGGCUUUUAUUUCACCUGUUUCAGUAGACACAUUUACCAGCUUGUUUGACAUUUUUGUCACUUCUUCUGACUUUUUCGUCAGUUUUUCCUAAGUUUUAGUCAAUUUUUCUGAAGUUUUGGUCACAUUUUCCGACAAUUGUCAGUCUCAUUUUGUUGUACUUGAGUAAUUCAUCACUGCUGCAACUAUGUCUUUUAUUUGAUGUGUAUUGACAGUGCUAUUUGCAAGCUUGUUGCAUUGUUUCAGUUUUAUUUCAGUGUUUCCAGAUAAUAAACACGUUUUCAUCAAA
This is a non-coding RNA of Perca fluviatilis (European perch), 725 nucleotides long. NCBI's taxonomy places the organism in Eukaryota, Metazoa, Chordata, Actinopteri, Perciformes, Percidae. The record is from the annotation of a RefSeq genome assembly.